Molecule: long non-coding RNA, 256 nt
Filed under: Helianthus annuus (common sunflower)
Lineage: Eukaryota; Viridiplantae; Streptophyta; Magnoliopsida; Asterales; Asteraceae
Description: sRNA HanXRQr2_Chr14g0651751
Source: RNAcentral
CGUCGUCGUCGUCGUCGUCGUCGUCGUCGUCGUCGUCGUCGUCGUCGUCGUCGUCGUCGUCGUCGUCGUCGUCGUCGUCGUCGUCGUCGUCGUCGUCGUCGUCGUCGUCGUCGUCGUCGUCGUCGUCGUCGUCGUCGUCGUCGUCGUCGUCGUCGUCGUCGUCGUCGUCGUCGUCGUCGUCGUCGUCGUCGUCGUCGUCGUCGUCGUCGUCGUCGUCGUCGUCGUCGUCGUCGUCGUCGUCGUCGUCGUCGUCGUC